CCUACGGGUGGCAGCAGUGGGGAAUAUUGGACAAUGGGGGGAACCCUGAUCCAGCCAUGCCGCGUGUGUGAAGAAGGCCCUCGGGUUGUAAAGCACUUUCAGUGAGGAAGAACGCCUGGUGGUUAAUACCCAUCAGGAAAGACAUCACUCACAGAAGAAGCACCGGCUAACUCCGUGCCAGCAGCCGCGGUAAUACGGAGGGUGCGAGCGUUAAUCGGAAUUACUGGGCGUAAAGCGCGCGUAGGUGGCUUGAUAAGCCGGUUGUGAAAGCCCCGGGCUCAACCUGGGAACGGCAUCCGGAACUGUCAAGCUAGAGUGCAGGAGAGGAAGGUAGAAUUCCCGGUGUAGCGGUGAAAUGCGUAGAGAUCGGGAGGAAUACCAGUGGCGAAGGCGGCCUUCUGGACUGACACUGACACUGAGGUGCGAAAGCGUGGGUAGUAAACAGGAUUAGAUACCCGGGUAGUC
RNAcentral lists this ribosomal RNA (465 nucleotides) under Vreelandella stevensii. RNAcentral describes it as "partial 16S ribosomal RNA". It matches the Rfam family "Bacterial small subunit ribosomal RNA", at positions 338 to 795 of the family's 1533-position model. Lineage: Bacteria; Pseudomonadati; Pseudomonadota; Gammaproteobacteria; Oceanospirillales; Halomonadaceae. The record is from RNAcentral.